CGUACGACUCUCGGCAAUGGAUAUCUCGGCUCUCGCAUCGAUGAAGAACGUAGCGAAAUGCGAUACUUAGUGUGAAUUGCAGAAUCCCGUGAAUCAUCGAGUCUUUGAACGCAAGUUGCGCCCGAAGCCUCGGCCAAGGGCACGUCUGCCUGGGCGUCGCAA
This 162-nucleotide ribosomal RNA is filed under the name Ephedra distachya. RNAcentral's name for it is "5.8S ribosomal RNA". It matches the Rfam family "5.8S ribosomal RNA". Rfam says of the family: 5.8S ribosomal RNA (5.8S rRNA) is a component of the large subunit of the eukaryotic ribosome. It is transcribed by RNA polymerase I as part of the 45S precursor that also contains 18S and 28S rRNA. Functionally, it is thought that 5.8S rRNA may be involved in ribosome translocation. The record is from RNAcentral. Lineage: Eukaryota; Viridiplantae; Streptophyta; Gnetopsida; Ephedrales; Ephedraceae. RNAcentral also lists the same sequence under 4 other names.